CCUACGGGAGGCAGCAGUGAGGAAUAUUGGUCAAUGGCCGAGAGGCUGAACCAGCCAAGUCGCGUGAGGGAUGACGGCCCUACGGGUUGUAAACCUCUUUUGUCGGGGAGCAAAGAGCGUCACGUGUGACUCAUUGAGAGUACCCGAAGAAAAAGCAUCGGCUAACUCCGUGCCAGCAGCCGCGGUAAUACGGAGGAUGCGAGCGUUAUCCGGAUUUAUUGGGUUUAAAGGGUGCGCAGGCGGAGGGUCAAGUCAGCGGUCAAAUUGCGGGGCUCAACCCCGUACUGCCGUUGAAACUGCAUCCC
This 305-nucleotide ribosomal RNA is filed under the name uncultured bacterium. RNAcentral's name for it is "bacterial SSU rRNA". It matches the Rfam family "Bacterial small subunit ribosomal RNA", at positions 338 to 641 of the family's 1533-position model. The record is from RNAcentral.